Molecule: ribosomal RNA, 301 nt
Filed under: uncultured bacterium
Lineage: Bacteria
Description: partial 16S ribosomal RNA
Rfam family: Bacterial small subunit ribosomal RNA
Source: RNAcentral
CAGUCGCCGCGGUAAUACGAAGGGUGCAAGCGUUACUCGGAAUUACUGGGCGUAAAGCGUGCGUAGGUGGUGGUUUAAGUCCGUUGUGAAAGCCCUGGGCUCAACCUGGGAAUUGCAGUGGAUACUGGAUCACUAGAGUGUGGUAGAGGAUAGUGGAAUUUCCGGUGUAGCAGUGAAAUGCGUAGAGAUCGGAAGGAACAUCUGUGGCGAAGGCGACUAUCUGGGCCAACACUGACACUGAGGCAUGAAAGCGUGGGGAGCAAACAGGAUUAGAUACCCGAGUAGUCCCUGUCUCUUAUAC